Penaeus chinensis is the source of this 344-nucleotide long non-coding RNA. RefSeq lists it as uncharacterized. The record is from RefSeq and is a predicted model, not a curated record. The transcript has 3 exons. NCBI's taxonomy places the organism in Eukaryota, Metazoa, Arthropoda, Malacostraca, Decapoda, Penaeidae.
GUUAAAACAAAAUGAUAGCGAUAAGAGCUUAUUUGAUGGUGAUAUUUAUGUACAUGGGUCUCGCAUUUGUGGGGACAGGAUGUGAGAAAAGAGGAGAAAUGAAAUCUCGAGAGCCCUUACCAACGCCACUUCCAUAAACAGGAAAAUCCCACAUGGAAAAUGGCCUCUUAACAGGAGUCAAGAACCGUUUUCCCUUUCAAUUUCAUGGACUUUCUUAAACGUCUGAUUAAUUAAGAAACACUAACUGUCACUAGCACAUUGUCAUUGGCAGGAGAACUUAUAUCGACAGAUGUUAAACAAUUCUACAUUAGAAAGCAUCUUUAGAUAAAAUUCUACUUCAUAUA